This 447-nucleotide ribosomal RNA is filed under the name uncultured bacterium. RNAcentral describes it as "bacterial SSU rRNA". It matches the Rfam family "Bacterial small subunit ribosomal RNA", at positions 330 to 794 of the family's 1533-position model. The record is from RNAcentral.
UCCAGACUCCUACGGGAGGCAGCAGUGGGGAAUAUUGCACAAUGGGGGAAACCCUGAUGCAGCGACGCCGCGUGAGUGAAGAGGUAUUUCGGUAUGUAAAGCUCUCUCAGCAGGGAAGAAAAUGACGGUACCUGACCAAGAAGCCCCGGCUAACUACGUGCCAGCAGCCGCGGUAAUACGUAGGGGGCAAGCGUUAUCCGGAUUUACUGGGUGUAAAGGGAGCGUAGACGGCUGUGCAAGUCAGAAGUGAAAGCCCGGGGCUCAACCCUGGGACUGCUCUGGAAACUGCGUCGCUGGAGUACGGGAGGGGCAGGCGGAAUUCCUGGUGUAGCGGUGAAAUGCGUAGAUAUCAGGAGGAACACCGGCGGCGAAGGCGGCCUGCUGGACCGUGACUGACGUUGAGGCUCGAGAGCGUGGGGAGCAAACAGGAUUAGAUACCCCGGUACA